RNAcentral lists this ribosomal RNA (253 nucleotides) under uncultured bacterium. RNAcentral describes it as "partial 16S ribosomal RNA". It matches the Rfam family "Bacterial small subunit ribosomal RNA", at positions 524 to 776 of the family's 1533-position model. The record is from RNAcentral.
UACGGAGGGUGCAAACGUUGCUCGGAAUUAUUGGGCGUAAAGCGCACGUAGGCGGUUCGUUAUGUCGGAUGUGAAAGCCCCGGGCUUAACCCGGGAAGGGCAUCCGAAACUGGCGGGCUUGAGUACGGAAGAGGGUCUCGGAAUUCCCGGUGUAGAGGUGAAAUUCGUAGAUAUUGGGAAGAACACCGGUGGCGAAGGCGGCUCACUGGCUCAUUACUGACGCUCAGGCGCGAUAGCGUGGGGAUCAAACAGG